UGUAAUUCAAGUGGAGAAUCCCUUCUAAACUAGUGAGGGAUGAUGGAAACUAAACCCAACUUCAAAAAUCCAGCUCUCAAGGCAUUCGGAUCCAUAAACACCAAGAAAACUUCAAUUUCAGCUCAAAAACACUAAAAUCUCAGGACAAAUAGUGAUUCGAGCCUACAUACCUAAUCAAACUGUUGUUGGAAUGGUUCAACACACUCUUCUAUAAGUCCACAAUCCACAAAACCAAUUUUCACAGUAUUUGGGUGCUCCUACGGUGCACACGAGCAGAAACUCCCAAGGUCGCUACUGGAUUUCUGCUGAAAUCUAAGCCUUCAAUGCCACAGAAUAGAAAUUUGAAGGAGUGGAGGGGAUUUGGUGCAAAAAUACAAGCUCCCUAUGAAGAAGAGGUGAAAAGAGCUCUUAGAAGAUGUUCUCCCAUUUUUAUAGAGGUAUAGGUUGGGUACAAUAAGCCUCAGGAAUAAACAUUGCUAACCUAUUACUCUGCUGGCAACUCCAGAUUCGGGCACCUAGAACCCAUAACUGGGUGCCUAAAAUUUUCAGCCUGCACAAACAGCACUUUGGUUUCUCCAUUCGACGGUCCGCUACUCCGCCAUCCGGUGCCGGCGAAUCUCACCUACCACUACACACGUGUCAACACGAUCGAUAUUCACGAAGUGAACUUUCGAGCUCAACUUUCGGGCACCCUAAACAAGGUUCGAAAUGACUUCAGCAUUCAAUACCAAACAACACUCAGGAUCUGGGCGCUCUAAAUCACUUCUGGGCGGCUUAAACUGCCAAAACUUUAGUUUUGGCUUAUUUGAGUGCCCGAGUCUGUUUUUGCAUCCAUUUCGUGCUAAAACGACUUCGACUCGUCCCGACACUCUACAGAUGUGUCGAUCAGUCGCUGAUACUGUAGUCAUUUAGAUAGCUAAACCCCAGGGACACUACAAUCCUAAC
This 945-nucleotide long non-coding RNA is filed under the name Ananas comosus (pineapple). RNAcentral describes it as "long non-coding RNA (ACOM_LNC043023)". Lineage: Eukaryota; Viridiplantae; Streptophyta; Magnoliopsida; Poales; Bromeliaceae. The record is from RNAcentral.